RNAcentral lists this long non-coding RNA (231 nucleotides) under Vigna radiata. RNAcentral describes it as "long non-coding RNA (VRAD_LNC005817)". The record is from RNAcentral. Lineage: Eukaryota; Viridiplantae; Streptophyta; Magnoliopsida; Fabales; Fabaceae.
GGGUGCAGAAAAUAAUUGACUAUUUAAAUCCAUUUGAAUGAAGUAUUACUAUUCAUCUUUUACGAAUUGGCCUAAAUACAGAUAUUUUGGGAGAUAAGUGUAACCAUGGUUAUAAGAUUAAUAUUUAUUUUGGAAUGACGGAAGGAAAAAUAUUUUCUUUUGUCUAUCUCAAUUAGUAUAGACAGAUCGGUCAUCGGAUAGAUGAAUGGUAAAAUCCUUCAAAAAUGAAGU